This is a non-coding RNA of Cricetulus griseus (Chinese hamster), 641 nucleotides long. Lineage: Eukaryota; Metazoa; Chordata; Mammalia; Rodentia; Cricetidae. The record is from the annotation of a RefSeq genome assembly.
AUGGAGUGGGUGUGGAGGCUCCUUUUCCUGCUGGCAGCUGCCCAAAGUGUCCAAACACAGAUCCAGCUGGUGCAGUCAGGAGCUGAGCUGAAGCAGCCUGGGCAGUCAGUGAAGAUCUCCUGCAAGGCUUCAGGGUACACCUUCACACAAUAUGCAAUGCGCUGGGUGAAGCCGGCACCAGGACAGGGUCUAAAGUAUAUGGGCUGGAUCAAUACUGAAACUGGGAAUCCAACAUAUGCUGAUGACUUCAAAGGACGGUUUGUCUUCUCCUUGGACACGUCUGUCAGCACUGCAUAUCUGCAGAUCAGCAGCCUCAAGGAUGAAGAUACGGCCAUGUAUUACUGUGCGAGAGACACAGUGUGAAAACCACAUCCUGAGGGUGUCAGAAAACCUCAGGGAAGUGGUUCUUCUGUGCCCAGACAGCAACAGAGGAAAUAUCUGCCUCCUCCAUGACUAUGAUUAUGAAGUUAGUAAUUAGACACAAGGAAAUUGAUCUCUGUUCUUUGGUAGACUCUUCACAGUUGUGUCUUGGCAAUCAAGCCACAUGCAUAGGAAAGAGGACAUAGGAUAGCAUCAUUAACUCGGGAUAAAACCUAUAGUUGGCCAGGCCUUGGUAUUCAUGCCUUUAAUCACAGCACUCA